Molecule: ribosomal RNA, 495 nt
Filed under: uncultured bacterium
Lineage: Bacteria
Description: partial 16S ribosomal RNA
Rfam family: Bacterial small subunit ribosomal RNA
Source: RNAcentral
GACGAACGCUGGCGGCGUGCCUAAUACAUGCAAGUAGAACGCUGAAGGAGGAGCUUGCUCUUCUGGAUGAGUUGCGAACGGGUGAGUAACGCGUAGGUAACCUGCCUGGUAGCGGGGGAUAACUAUUGGAAACGAUAGCUAAUACCGCAUAACAGUAGAUGUUGCAUGACAUUUACUUAAAAGGUGCAAUUGCAUCACUACCAGAUGGACCUGCGUUGUAUUAGCUAGUUGGUGGGGUAACGGCUCACUAAGGCGACGAUACAUAGCCGACCUGAGAGGGUGAUCGGCCAGACUGGGACUGAGACACGGCCCAGACUCCUACGGGAGGCAGCAGUAGGGAAUCUUCGGCAAUGGACGGAAGUCUGACCGAGCAACGCCGCGUGAGUGAAGAAGGUUUUCGGAUCGUAAAGCUCUGUUGUAAGAGAAGAACGAGUGUGAGAGUGGAAAGUUCACACUGUGACGGUAUCUUACCAGAAAGGGACGGCUAACUACGUG